UCGAGUACAUUAUCGGCAAGUCACCAAACAUUCAGACCUUCUUGCCACACAUGAUUCAGUGGUAACAUUGUUUGGUAGGUGUAUGGUGGCAAAGAUGAUGAUCGAUUUGCUUCUUCUCAUACACUGCCGACAAAUCGUAAAAGGGGAAGUUGAGGUUUCCUUUUUCUAACAUCGUCCCAUAGCCUUUUGUUGGCGAUUCAUAGACUGACAUACUUCCAUGAUUCCAUCGGCUUUGAGGGAAGCGACCAUAGCUUGUGUACCUUCCAUGCCGUGUGAAGUAGGGUUUAGACCCCAGGCAACCCACCUCGACUGAUCACUAGCCACGGUUUGCCUGAAAGUCAACUUUCUUGCUCUGCUAGGGAUUCUUUGCCCUAGCCGUCAAAAUUGAUCGAGUCUGCAAGAUGAUGACAGAGGAGACGAUGGCUCCUCCUAUACUUUCUGAGGAGGUUGUUGUGAGCCUUGUUGGAGGAGAGGAUGCGAUCCACGACUUGUUUUUCUAUUUAUGUGGCCGGCUCUUAUCCAAAAGACGGUGGUGAUCCCGUCGUUUUCGGCGACGAUCUCCAACGUUUGGGGAUUAAGAGAGAGAAUUCUGAUUCGACAGGAGGAGGAGGACAUCUUUGUCUUCCAAUUCAAGGAUAGGGAGGUGAAGAAUCGGGUUCUUUCAAGAGCUCCAUGGUUCUACAACAACUCUGUGUUGCUGCUGGCAGAUUAUGAUGGUGUUUCGGCUCUCGAUGCGGCACCGCUGCACUUUCUUGAGGUUUAGGUGGCGGUGAGGGGUUUGCACAUAGCUAUGCACAACGAGAAGGCGUUGACGCUGAUUGGCCGUGCUCUGGGGACUGUCGUUCUGGUUGACCAAGGGGGUGUGCAGAGGAAAGACACGGUUUAGAGGAUUCGUGUGAUCCAGGACGUUCGCCGGCGGAUAUGGGCGCAGCGGAAAUUUGAGUUUUCGUCGGCGGUUUCGGUAUGGGUGGAGCUCAAUUACGAGAAGUGUCAUGGGCUUUGCAUGGCAUGUGGAUUCUUCGAGCAUGGAGAUGGGAUCUGUGAUCAAAGAUUUGAGGGGGAGGCGUGGCCGCUGGUGGUGUCGGGCCGAGACGAGGUGGACCGUGGGUUUGAUUCGAUGCGUAACUCGCCAGCUUCUGUGGCAAUAGUCGGUGGGCCGGGAUUGACUCGUACGGCGUCGGCGAGGCUGUCGAUGUUGGAAGGACGAAAGGCGCCUGUGGAGACGGUAGCAGGAUCAAAGGCUAUGGCUGCUUGUGGAGCGGCGGUCUUUCCAUAAAAACUGGUGAGAAGCCCUAAUUUUGAAUUAGGGUUGACCGCUGGGUUGACUGGGCUAGGGCUGCCGGGUUUUGGGCCGGAUACUGAUGGGUCUACUAUUGGGUCAGAGAGGCAGGUAUUAGGGUUGGGCCUCAAUGCUAAUGGGGCAUAUAUGGAGGAUUCUGUUGGGCUUUUUUCUAGUGACAAACACUCAAGGGCUUUGGGUGUGAGAAAGAGGCAAUUCAAACCUAGUUUGGCAAUUAUUCUGUGGGAGUUUCAGCUGGGUGAGUUGGUGGAGGUUUCGGUUUCUAUGGGGCCAGCCCCGAAGAAAAAGGGCAGUCCACGCAAACGCAUUCAGGCAAAAGCUACAGGUGGAACCAAAGAGAAGGAAGGGGAUGUCAACAAACACAUCACACACAAGAAGAAGAAGAAGAAUGAAAUUACAAUGAUCAAAGGAGAGAAAGCUGAGCAGGAAAUAUUGCUGCACAGGGUAGAUAGUGCUGCUAGUCACAUUUGAACAAGUUCAAGUGCAGCCAAGGUUAAUAGAACAGACUGAAGCAAGCAUGCUCCUUGUGCUAAGUGCCAAGACAAAAGUCUUGUCUGCCACACACAUUGUAUUUGGCAUCUCCACAAAUCUUGUCUGCCAUGCUUUUGGCUUCUCUAUGCUUGUACUCUAGUUUAAAUAUCUGUUCACUCUUGUAAUCAAAACCAACAAUUAAUUCAAGCAAAUCUCAUUUCUCUUCAAAGGAAUGAAGGAUUCUCUCAAGAAGAUUAAUUAAGAAGGAAUAAAGGAUUCUAUCAAUUCGAAUAUGAGAGGGAAAACUUAAUUGUCAUUAUCUUCAUCGAAGGAACUGGAGUCCUCAUCUUCAUCAGCUGAUAUUGGCUCGUCAUCAUCUUCCACAAAGGAACCUGACUCCUUGUCCCCAGAUUUGUCAAAAAGAGAACUACAUGAAAAUAACAACAAUUAACUACAAAACUAUAUAUAUAAAAAAAGAAAUGAUACAAGGAAUAAACAAAGUAUUUCACAACAUUACCUAUCUUUAGCCGUACUAAGUGCCGGGCAAUUUCGUUUAUCAUGUAAUUGGCCAUACAAACCACAUCCAUGACAUUUCCUUGUACUACUUCUCUUUCUCUUUGUGUUCUCCUUUGUUUUCUUAAGCCUUUUUCCAGAACCCUUCGCUUUGAUUUCAUUUGGCUCAUUAUACCUAUGUUGAACAUCACUUGGCAGCUUCUUACCAAUACUCACACUUUCACUACUAUUGACUUGCAUUUGUUUGAGCUUAUCAAGCACAUUGUCAAGUGCCUCGAGAAACAUGGUCUGAGCUUCAUCAGGACUUGUAAGGACUUUGUCAAUAACAAGUGAAGCAUGAUGAAAUAAUUUACUACGCUUCACCACCAAUGCAUUUGUAUCUGUUAUCACCAACCCAUCUAGGUCCUUAACUACAGCAGCAUUUGCAACUUUAGUCCAUCUCUUCAAAAUGUAUUGGUCAGGCAAGUAAUCUACUUCCUGAAC
RNA transcript from Rosa rugosa (rugosa rose), 2767 nucleotides. RefSeq lists it as uncharacterized. NCBI's taxonomy places the organism in Eukaryota, Viridiplantae, Streptophyta, Magnoliopsida, Rosales, Rosaceae. The record is from RefSeq and is a predicted model, not a curated record. The transcript has 4 exons.